Molecule: ribosomal RNA, 429 nt
Filed under: Gemmatimonadota bacterium
Lineage: Bacteria; Pseudomonadati; Gemmatimonadota
Description: Gemmatimonadetes bacterium partial 16S ribosomal RNA
Rfam family: Bacterial small subunit ribosomal RNA
Source: RNAcentral
UAGGGAAUCUUCGGCAAUGGACGAAAGUCUGACCGAGCAACGCCGCGUGAGUGAAGAAGGUUUUCGGAUCGUAAAACUCUGUUGUUAGAGAAGAACAAGGACGUUAGUAACUGAACGUCCCCUGACGGUAUCUAACCAGAAAGCCACGGCUAACUACGUGCCAGCAGCCGCGGUAAUACGUAGGUGGCAAGCGUUGUCCGGAUUUAUUGGGCGUAAAGCGAGCGCAGGCGGUUUCUUAAGUCUGAUGUGAAAGCCCCCGGCUCAACCGGGGAGGGUCAUUGGAAACUGGGAGACGUGAGUGCAGAAGAGGAGAGUGGAAUUCCAUGUGUAGCGGUGAAAUGCGUAGAUAUAUGGAGGAACACCAGUGGCGAAGGCGGCUCUCUGGUCUGUAACUGACGCUGAGGCGCGAAAGCGUGGGGAGCAAACAGG